UCACAGUGAAAAAGAGUCGAAACAGCUCCUCCUACCUCCGCACGAAAACACAUGGCUAUCAAAUAACAAGGAUUAUCCUGUAGUAAAGGGAAUAGACUACUCCCUCCAACAUAGAGACCGGGAUUCAUCGGUGGAAAUUACAGCCAGACCAACUUUGGCUCAACAUCAGGGGGAGCUUUGGAACCACUCGUGGAUCUUUUCAGCUAUUCCCAGGAAUCAUGUGGUUUGAUACUUCCUAAAUUUUCCUCUGCACUACCUGAGCACAAAACAAUGCAAUGAUGGGAAAGAACACGUUCUUUCUUUGAAUGAAAUUCACAUUUAUUCUGAGAGCAAGACUUCUGGGGUUUGUCUGUGACCCUAAUGAUGAAUCCAAAGACUGUGCAAGAGAAAAUAAAAGACAGGUCUUGCUUAAGGGCCUUUCUUACAUUCUUGAAUGCAGACCAUCUGGGUCCCUCCACAGAGAACUGCCUGCUGCCUCUCGCAGAGAAGAGAGCUCCAGCAACCACAGGUGCCUGCAGGUUCCUCAGACUUCCAGAGUGUUCCAGGGAAGGGACUGCUGCUGACGUUGCGCUGCAAGAGCAGUCCUGAGUUUCAACCACAUUUUCAGUUAUGACUUCUUCAAAAGAGAGCAUCUGAAAAACACAAGAUCAUUUCUACUCACAUGAAAACACAUUCAACAGAGAAAAAACAAAAUCUCUGUCCAGAGACGUGCUUUAUUUCCAUCCUACAUUCGGACAAACCCAUUAACACUGCAGGUGGCUUGCGAGGAUAGACCCCCAGGCUGAGACAGGCGUAUGGCUGAGAUUUUCAAAGUUACCACGUCGCGGCCGGGCGCGGUGGCUCACGCCUGUCAUCCCAGCACUUUGGGAGGCCGAGGCGGGCGGAUCAUGAGGUCAGGAGACGAGACCAUCCUAGCUAACACGGUGAAACCCUGUCUCUACUAAAAAUACAAAAA
This is a long non-coding RNA of Homo sapiens (human), 955 nucleotides long. RefSeq lists it as uncharacterized. The record is from RefSeq and is a predicted model, not a curated record. The transcript is spliced from 3 exons. NCBI's taxonomy places the organism in Eukaryota, Metazoa, Chordata, Mammalia, Primates, Hominidae.